UGAACGCUAGCUACAGGCUUAACACAUGCAAGUCGAGGGGCAGCAUUUUAGUUUGCUUGCAAACUAAAGAUGGCGACCGGCGCACGGGUGAGUAACACGUAUCCAACCUGCCGAUAACUCGGGGAUAGCCUUUCGAAAGAAAGAUUAAUAUCCGAUAGUAUAUUAAAACCGCAUGGUUUUACUAUUAAAGAAUUUCGGUUAUCGAUGGGGAUGCGUUCCAUUAGUUUGUUGGCGGGGUAACGGCCCACCAAGACAACGAUGGAUAGGGGUUCUGAGAGGAAGGUCCCCCACAUUGGAACUGAGACACGGUCCAAACUCCUACGGGAGGCAGCAGUGAGGAAUAUUGGUCAAUGGACGAGAGUCUGAACCAGCCAAGUAGCGUGAAGGAUGACUGCCCUAUGGGUUGUAAACUUCUUUUAUAUGGGAAUAAAGUAUUCCACGUGUGGGAUUUUGUAUGUACCAUAUGAAUAAGGAUCGGCUAACUCCGUGCCAGCAGCCGCGGUAAUACGGAGGAUCCGAGCGUUAUCCGGAUUUAUUGGGUUUAAAGGGAGCGUAGGUGGAUUGUUAAGUCAGUUGUGAAAGUUUGCGGCUCAACCGUAAAAUUGCAGUUGAAACUGGCAGUCUUGAGUACAGUAGAGGUGGGCGGAAUUCGUGGUGUAGCGGUGAAAUGCUUAGAUAUCACGAAGAACUCCGAUUGCGAAGGCAGCUCACUAGACUGCAACUGACACUGAUGCUCGAAAGUGUGGGUAUCAAACAGGAUUAGAUACCCUGGUAGUCCACACAGUAAACGAUGAAUACUCGCUGUUUGCGAUAUACAGUAAGCGGCCAAGCGAAAGCAUUAAGUAUUCCACCUGGGGAGUACGCCGGCAACGGUGAAACUCAAAGGAAUUGACGGGGGCCCGCACAAGCGGAGGAACAUGUGGUUUAAUUCGAUGAUACGCGAGGAACCUUACCCGGGCUUAAAUUGCAUUUGAAUAAUCUGGAAACAGGUUAGCCGCAAGGCAAAUGUGAAGGUGCUGCAUGGUUGUCGUCAGCUCGUGCCGUGAGGUGUCGGCUUAAGUGCCAUAACGAGCGCAACCCUUAUCUUUAGUUACUAACAGGUCAUGCUGAGGACUCUAGAGAGACUGCCGUCGUAAGAUGUGAGGAAGGUGGGGAUGACGUCAAAUCAGCACGGCCCUUACGUCCGGGGCUACACACGUGUUACAAUGGGGGGUACAGAAGGCAGCUACCUGGCGACAGGAUGCUAAUCCCAAAAACCUCUCUCAGUUCGGAUCGAAGUCUGCAACCCGACUUCGUGAAGCUGGAUUCGCUAGUAAUCGCGCAUCAGCCAUGGCGCGGUGAAUACGUUCCCGGGCCUUGUACACACCGCCCGUCAAGCCAUGAAAGCCGGGGGUACCUGAAGUACGUAACCGCAAGGAGCGUCCUAGGGUAAAACUGGUAAUUGGGGC
This 1448-nucleotide ribosomal RNA is filed under the name uncultured organism. Its description in RNAcentral is "16S ribosomal RNA". It matches the Rfam family "Bacterial small subunit ribosomal RNA". The record is from RNAcentral.